RNAcentral lists this ribosomal RNA (563 nucleotides) under uncultured bacterium. Its description in RNAcentral is "bacterial SSU rRNA". It matches the Rfam family "Bacterial small subunit ribosomal RNA", at positions 338 to 916 of the family's 1533-position model. The record is from RNAcentral.
CCUACGGGAGGCAGCAGUGGGGAAUAUUGGACAAUGGGCGCAAGCCUGAUCCAGCCAUGCCGCGUGAGUGAUGAAGGCCCUAGGGUUGUAAAGCUCUUUUGUGCGGGAAGAUAAUGACGGUACCGCAAGAAUAAGCACCGGCUAACUACGUGCCAGCAGCCGCGGUGACACGUAGGCUCCAAGCGUUGUCCGGGUUUAUUGGGCGUAAAGAGCUCGUAGGCGGUUUAGUAAGUCGGGUGUGAAAACUCUGGGCUUAACCCGGAGACGCCAUCCGAUACUGCUACGACUUGAGUUCAGGAGGGGAGCGGGGAAUUCCUAGCGUAGCGGUGAAAUGCGCAGAUAUAGGAGGAACACCGGUGGCGAAGGCGCCGCUCUGGACUGAAACUGACGCUGAGGAGCGAAAGCAUGGGUAGCAAACAGGAUUAGAUACCCUGGUAGUCCAUGCCGUAAACGGUGGGCACUAGGUGUGGGUUCCAACUAACGGGAUCCGCGCCGUCGCUAACGCAUUAAGUGCCCCGCCUGGGGAGUACGGUCGCAAGACUAAAACUCAAAGGAAUUGACGG